RNAcentral lists this ribosomal RNA (441 nucleotides) under uncultured bacterium. RNAcentral's name for it is "partial 16S ribosomal RNA". It matches the Rfam family "Bacterial small subunit ribosomal RNA", at positions 338 to 795 of the family's 1533-position model. The record is from RNAcentral.
CCUACGGGAGGCAGCAGUGGGGGAUAUUGCACAAUGGGGGGAACCCUGAUGCAGCGACGCCGCGUGGGUGAAGGAGCGUUUCGGCGCGUAAAGCCCUAUCGGCAGGGAAGAAGGAGGACGGUACCUGACCAAGAAGCCCCGGCUAACUACGUGCCAGCAGCCGCGGUAAUACGUAGGGGGCAAGCGUUAUCCGGAUGUACUGGGUGUAAAGGGGGCGCAGACGGCAGCGCAAGCCAGGAGUGAAAGCCCGGGGCCCAACCCCGGGACUGCUCUUGGAACUGGGCGGCUGGAGUGCAGGAGGGGCAGGCGGAAGUCGUGGUGUAGCGGUGAAAUGCGUAGAUAUCAGGAGGAACCCCGAUGGCGAAGGCGGCCUGCUGGACUGCGACUGACGUUGAGGCCCGAAAGCGUGGGGAGCAAACAGGAUUAGAUACCCCUGUAGUC